GAUGAACGUUGGCGGCGUGCCUAAUACAUGCAAGUCGAACGAAACUUCUUUAUCACCGAGUGCUUGCACUCACCGAUAAAGAGUUGAGUGGCGAACGGGUGAGUAACACGUGGGCAACCUGCCCAAAAGAGGGGAUAACACUUGGAAACAGGUGCUAAUACCGCAUAACCAUAGUUACCGCAUGGUAACUAUGUAAAAGGUGGCUAUACUACCGCUUUUGGAUGGGCCCGCGGCGCAUUAGCUAGUUGGUAGGGUAAAGGCUUACCAAGGCAAUGAUGCGUAGCCGAAUUGAGAGGUUGAUCGGCCACAUUGGGACUGAGACACGGCCCAAACUCCUACGGGAGGCAGCAGUAGGGAAUCUUCCACAAUGGGCGAAAGCCUGAUGGAGCAACGCCGCGUGGGUGAAGAAGGUCUUCGGAUCGUAAAACCCUGUUGUUAGAGAAGAAAGUGCGUGAGAGUAACUGUUCACGUUUCGACGGUAUCUAACCAGAAAGCCACGGCUAACUACGUG
Molecule: ribosomal RNA, 511 nt
Filed under: uncultured bacterium
Lineage: Bacteria
Description: partial 16S ribosomal RNA
Rfam family: Bacterial small subunit ribosomal RNA
Source: RNAcentral